RNAcentral lists this ribosomal RNA (508 nucleotides) under uncultured bacterium. Its description in RNAcentral is "partial 16S ribosomal RNA". It matches the Rfam family "Bacterial small subunit ribosomal RNA", at positions 28 to 507 of the family's 1533-position model. The record is from RNAcentral.
GACGAACGCUGGCGGCGUGCCUAAUACAUGCCAGUCGAACGCUUCUUUCCUCCCGAGUGCUUGCACUCAAUUGGAAAGAGGAGUUGCGGACGGGUGAGUAACACGUGGGUAACCUACCCAUCAGAGGGGGAUAACACUUGGAAACAGGUGCUAAUACCGCAUAACAGUUUAUGCCGCAUGGCAUAAGAGUGAAAGGCGCUUUCGGGUGUCGUUGAUGGAUGGACCCGCGGUGCAUUAGCUAGUUGGUGAGGUAACGGCUCACCAAGGCCACGAUGCAUAGCCGACCUGAGAGGGUGAUCGGCCACACUGGAACUGAGACACGGCCCAGACUCCUACGGGAGGCAGCAGUAGGGAAUCUUCGGCAAUGGACGAAAGUCUGACCGAGCAACGCCGCGUGUGUGAAGAAGGUUUUCGGAUCGUAAAACUCUGUUGUUAGAGAAGAACAAGGACGUUAGUAACUGAACGUCCCCUGACGGUAUCUAACCAGAAAGCCACGGCUAACUACGUG